UUCGAAUGUGGAGAACAGUCGAAUGCUGC
RNAcentral lists this small RNA (29 nucleotides) under Bombyx mori (domestic silkworm). RNAcentral describes it as "ovarian small RNA-37367". The record is from RNAcentral. Lineage: Eukaryota; Metazoa; Arthropoda; Insecta; Lepidoptera; Bombycidae.